GGGUUGUGAGGUUAAGCGACUAAGCGUACACGGUGGAUGCCCUGGCAGUCAGAGGCGAUGAAGGGCGUGCUAAUCUGCGAUAAGCGCCGGUAAGGUGAUAUGAACCGUUAUAACCGGCGAUACCCGAAUGGGGAAACCCAGUGUGAUUCGUCACACUAUCAUUAACUGAAUCCAUAGGUUAAUGAGGCGAACCGGGGGAACUGAAACAUCUAAGUACCCCGAGGAAAAGAAAUCAACCGAGAUUCCCCCAGUAGCGGCGAGCGAACGGGGAGGAGCCCAGAGCCUGAAUCAGCAUGUGUGUUAGUGGAAGCGUCUGGAAAGGCGCGCGAUACAGGGUGACAGCCCCGUACACAAAAGCGCAUGUGCUGUGAGCUCGAUGAGUAGGGCGGGACACGUGGUAUCCUGUCUGAAUAUGGGGGGACCAUCCUCCAAGGCUAAAUACUCCUGACUGACCGAUAGUGAACCAGUACCGUGAGGGAAAGGCGAAAAGAACCCCGGCGAGGGGAGUGAAAAAGAACCUGAAACCGUGUACGUACAAGCAGUGGGAGCACCCUUUGGGGUGUGACUGCGUACCUUUUGUAUAAUGGGUCAGCGACUUAUAUUCUGUAGCAAGGUUAACCGUAUAGGGGAGCCGGAGGGAAACCGAGUCUUAAUUGGGCGUUAAGUUGCAGGGUAUAGACCCGAAACCCGGUGAUCUAGCCAUGGGCAGGUUGAAGGUUGGGUAACACUAACUGGAGGACCGAACCGACUAAUGUUGAAAAAUUAGCGGAUGACCUGUGGCUGGGGGUGAAAGGCCAAUCAAACCGGGAGAUAGCUGGUUCUCCCCGAAAGCUAUUUAGGUAGCGCCUCGUGAAUUCAUCUCCGGGGGUAGAGCACUGUUUCGGCUAGGGGGCCAUCCCGGCUUACCAACCCGAUGCAAACUGCGAAUACCGGAGAAUGUUAUCACGGGAGACACACGGCGGGUGCUAACGUCCGUCGUGAAGAGGGAAACAACCCAGACCGCCAGCUAAGGUCCCAAAGUCAUGGUUAAGUGGGAAACGAUGUGGGAAGGCCCAGACAGCCAGGAUGUUGGCUUAGAAGCAGCC
This 1085-nucleotide ribosomal RNA is filed under the name Salmonella enterica subsp. enterica serovar Hadar str. SA20026260. RNAcentral describes it as "bacterial LSU rRNA". It matches the Rfam family "Bacterial large subunit ribosomal RNA", at positions 1 to 1117 of the family's 2925-position model. Lineage: Bacteria; Pseudomonadati; Pseudomonadota; Gammaproteobacteria; Enterobacterales; Enterobacteriaceae. The record is from RNAcentral.